GGGCGGUUAGCUCAGCGGGAGAGCGCUGCCUUGACACGGCAGAGGUCACUGGUUCAAUCCCAGUACCGCCCACCA
Molecule: transfer RNA, 75 nt
Filed under: Devosia sp.
Lineage: Bacteria; Pseudomonadati; Pseudomonadota; Alphaproteobacteria; Hyphomicrobiales; Devosiaceae
Also listed under: 4 other names
Description: tRNA-Val
Rfam family: tRNA
About the family: Transfer RNA (tRNA) molecules are approximately 80 nucleotides in length. Their secondary structure includes four short double-helical elements and three loops (D, anti-codon, and T loops). Further hydrogen bonds mediate the characteristic L-shaped molecular structure. tRNAs have two regions of fundamental functional importance: the anti-codon, which is responsible for specific mRNA codon recognition, and the 3' end, to which the tRNAs corresponding amino acid is attached (by aminoacyl-tRNA synthetases). tRNAs cope with the degeneracy of the genetic code in two manners: having more than one tRNA (with a specific anti-codon) for a particular amino acid; and 'wobble' base-pairing, i.e. permitting non-standard base-pairing at the 3rd anti-codon position.
Source: RNAcentral